This 119-nucleotide ribosomal RNA is filed under the name Phaseolus vulgaris (common bean). Lineage: Eukaryota; Viridiplantae; Streptophyta; Magnoliopsida; Fabales; Fabaceae. The record is from RNAcentral.
AGGUGCGAUCAUACUAGCAGUAAUGCACUGGAUCCCAUCAGAACUCCGCAGACAAGUGUGCUUGUGCGAGACUAGUACUAGGAUGGGUGACCUCCUGGGAAGUCCUCGUGUUGCACUUC